GGGUUGUGAGGUUAAGCGACUAAGCGUACACGGUGGAUGCCCUGGCAGUCAGAGGCGAUGAAGGACGUGCUAAUCUGCGAUAAGCGCCGGUAAGGUGAUAUGAACCGUUAUAUUAGUGGAAGCGUCUGGAAAGGCGCGCGAUACAGGGUGACAGCCCCGUACACAAAAGCGCAUGUGCUGUGAGCUCGAUGAGUAGGGCGGGACACGUGGUAUCCUGUCUGAAUAUGGGGGGACCAUCCUCCAAGGCUAAAUACUCCUGACUGACCGAUAGUGAACCAGUACCGUGAGGGAAAGGCGAAAAGAACCCCGGCGAGGGGAGUGAAAAAGAACCUGAAACCGUGUACGUACAAGCAGUGGGAGCACAGGUUUACCUGUGUGACUGCGUACCUUUUGUAUAAUGGGUCAGCGACUUAUAUUCUGUAGCAAGGUUAACCGAAUAGGGGAGCCGGAGGGAAACCGAGUCUUAAYYGGGCGUUAAGUUGCAGGGUAUAGACCCGAAACCCGGUGAUCUAGCCAUGGGCAGGUUGAAGGUUGGGUAACACUAACUGGAGGACCGAACCGACUAAUGUUGAAAAAUUAGCGGAUGACCUGUGGCUGGGGGUGAAAGGCCAAUCAAACCGGGAGAUAGCUGGUUCUCCCCGAAAGCUAUUUAGGUAGCGCCUCGUGAAUUCAUCUCCGGGGGUAGAGCACUGUUUCGGCUAGG
Molecule: ribosomal RNA, 703 nt
Filed under: Salmonella enterica subsp. enterica serovar Infantis
Lineage: Bacteria; Pseudomonadati; Pseudomonadota; Gammaproteobacteria; Enterobacterales; Enterobacteriaceae
Description: partial 23S ribosomal RNA
Source: RNAcentral